Non-coding RNA from Tephrocybe rancida, 92 nucleotides. NCBI's taxonomy places the organism in Eukaryota, Fungi, Basidiomycota, Agaricomycetes, Agaricales, Lyophyllaceae. The record is from the annotation of a GenBank genome assembly.
GGCGCUAUAGCCAAGUGGUUACGGCGACAGAUUCGAAUAUCACAACAACCUGUUCCUCUUUGAGGGCGCAGGUUCAAAUCCUGCUGGCGUCG